UCUUAUGGCCAUGCCGGUCUGAGAAUGCCUGAUCUCAUCUGGUCUCAGAAGUGAAGCAGGCUUUGGCCUGGCUGGUGCUUGGAUGGGAGACCUCCUGAAAGUACCAUGUGAUUUAAACC
RNAcentral lists this ribosomal RNA (119 nucleotides) under Electrophorus electricus (electric eel). Lineage: Eukaryota; Metazoa; Chordata; Actinopteri; Gymnotiformes; Gymnotidae. The record is from RNAcentral.